This 343-nucleotide unclassified non-coding RNA is filed under the name soil metagenome. RNAcentral's name for it is "partial contains 5.8S ribosomal RNA, internal transcribed spacer 2, and large subunit ribosomal RNA". The stretch from base 1 to 120 matches the Rfam family "5.8S ribosomal RNA", at positions 35 to 154 of the family's 154-position model. The record is from RNAcentral.
GAUGAAAAACGUAGCGAAAUGCGAUAAGUAAUGUGAAUUGCAGAAUUCAGUGAAUCAUCGAAUCUUUGAACGCACAUUGCGCCCGCCAGCAUUCUGGCGGGCAUGCCUGUUCGAGCGUCAUUUCAACCCUCGAGCCCCCCCGGGGGCCUCGGUGUUGGGGGACGGCACACCAGCCGCCCCCGAAAUGCAGUGGCGACCCCGCCGCAGCCUCCCCUGCGUAGUAGCACACACCUCGCACCGGAGCGCGGAGGCGGUCACGCCGUAAAACGCCCAACUUUCUUAGAGUUGACCUCGGAUCAGGUAGGAAUACCCGCUGAACUUAAGCAUAUCAAUAAGCGGAGGA